Molecule: long non-coding RNA, 548 nt
Organism: Seriola dumerili (greater amberjack)
Lineage: Eukaryota; Metazoa; Chordata; Actinopteri; Carangiformes; Carangidae
Exons: 3
Source: RefSeq, a predicted model, not a curated record
CUGCAUCCUGCUGCUCCUCACACUGACCUCCUGUGUCUGUGGAACAUUUGUAGUGAAUGUGACACAGAGCUCCUAUCAGGCAGAGGAGAACCACAACAUCACACUGGAGUGGAGCUUCACAACCAAACCUCACACUCCAUCUGACUCCCUUUUUAUCAUAUGUGAGCUGUUAACUGAUGAUCACAAAGACUCAAAAGUCCUGUAUCAUCUACAUAGCGGUAAUGAGGUCCCAGAGUCUAAGGAUGAACAGUUUUCAGGACGAGUCCAGUGUGACAAAGACGUCCUCAGAGAAGGACGAAUCAGACUUCAUGUGUCCAGACUGAGGACUGAGGACUCAGGACUGUACCUGUGUGAGGUCAACACAUAUUAUGGUGCAAACAUUGGCAAAUGCAAACUCAGCGUCUCUGCAGCUGCUGACACAUACUCUGAGCCCAAACGUCAGAGUUUAACUGUGAGACCAAAACCAGAGAGUCGGGGAAGGAUCGGCCUCUAUACUGGACUGGGACUGGUGGCGGGAGCAGCGGUAGCAGCGGUAGCAGCAGGAGCAG